CCUGACGAUCCUCCACCUCUCCGGAUGCGUAUCCUCCAGAUGGUGCUGGAGCUGGAGCUGGAGCUGGUGGUGGUGGUGG
Molecule: non-coding RNA, 79 nt
Organism: Caenorhabditis elegans
Lineage: Eukaryota; Metazoa; Nematoda; Chromadorea; Rhabditida; Rhabditidae
Source: Ensembl